UCUGCAACCCGACUCCAUGGAGCUGGAUUCGCUAGUAAUCGCGCAUCAGCCACGGCGCGGUGAAUACGUUCCCGGGCCUUGUACACACCGCCCGUCAAGCCAUGGAAGCCGGGAGUGCCUGAAGUACGCGACCGCAAGGAGCGUCCUAAGGUAAAACCGGUGACUGGGGCUAAGUCGUAACAAGGUACC
RNAcentral lists this ribosomal RNA (189 nucleotides) under uncultured bacterium. RNAcentral's name for it is "partial 16S ribosomal RNA". It matches the Rfam family "Bacterial small subunit ribosomal RNA", at positions 1304 to 1500 of the family's 1533-position model. The record is from RNAcentral.